This is a non-coding RNA of Misgurnus anguillicaudatus (oriental weatherfish), 1860 nucleotides long. Lineage: Eukaryota; Metazoa; Chordata; Actinopteri; Cypriniformes; Cobitidae. The record is from RefSeq and is a predicted model, not a curated record.
CAGAGAUAAUUCCUGAGGCAUGUUUAAAGAGUUUUGUAUUUCCUCAAGUAAGUGCUGAUUCACAAAGAUUUUAUAUUUAAGAAAAUCUGAUCAUCAUUCAAAAUAACUGUUAACAUGUUUGUCAACUAAACAUGUUUUGUCAACGUUAUAAACUUUAUAGAAAUAUUUUUUAUUUUUUAUUAAUGACCAAGUAUAAAGAACAAUGCAUAGUGUGAAAACGCGGAUUAUAUAAAAGUAUAUAAUAAAGUGCGAACAGGGGAUCAAUCAAACUUGGGCUGGAAUGAUUGUAGUGCAUCCAAUGGAUCUUGGAACUCGUAGUUUACAUCUACAGCAGCAUAUGCUACAGCAGUGACAACGCCAAAGAAAAGGACUACAUUUCCCAGAAUGCACCUGCACCCACUCAUCUCCCCUCAUCCUUCAGGUGCGACCGCUCGACCUAUGGGCUUGACGGGGAAAUUCAAAAUCGCGAACCGUUACAGCCUGGACGGUGUCUUUGUUUGUUUGCAUAUCAACAGUUAAGAGGUCAUGUACACUGUGGUCAACUUUGUGGACGCUGAAGAGGUUUCUGGGUAAAGAUGAUAGAAAUAUAAUGAAGUAACAGUGGAAGCUAAAACAUCAGACUGAUCCAGACACUGAAGAAAUUGAUGUCACUGCAAUCUGGCCAAAAUGAUACAACUAUAUUGAAGUAGCCUACUGUAAUGAAGCUGCAGAACUUCACAGAGACUCUGAGGACAUCAACACAGAAAAUCUAGGCUCCAAAGAGAUGUCUGUCCAGAUGAGGGUGCAUCAACGUUACCUUUGCUGACAAGUAUAUGCUUUUAGCAGUUAACUUAACUCAAACCAUUUAAGGAAAUCGGUUGCCUUAAACCAUUAAGUUUUAAAAAACAUACAUUUGAGUACUGUGAACCUAAGUCUUGUGCAAUUAUGCACUUAUAUUUAGGUAGUGCUUAACUGCAUGUGACUCAUUUGUUUAAGUUCACAGUACUCAAAUCUAUGUGUUUUAAAACUUGAAGGGUUUAAUGCAACCGGUUUUCUUAAAUGUGAGAAAUUACAGUGAGAAAUGUUUGAAUAAUUCCAAGACAGAGCUCUGUGAUUGAUUCUACACUGCAAAAAAUCACUUUCUAACACUUUUUAUCUUGUUUUCAGUAGAAAAACUAAAAAUUCUUAAAUCAUGAUGUAUUUUCUUGAUGAGCGAAAUUACCUUAGAAAAUAUGUCUAGUUUUUAGACAAAAAUAUACAAUUUAAGAUAAUCUGUGCCUAAAAAAGAAAAAAUAUCUAACAAUGGGGUGAGAAAAUUGUGUUUUAAUUAAGUUUUUAAGAUAAAAGAAAACUUAAGAUUUUUUUCUCACACUAUUGGCAGAUAUUUUUGCUUGGUUUAAGCACAAAUUCACUUAAUGUGUGUGUAUUUUAUUUAUUUAUUUUAAUUUAAAUAAUAUUUCUACUGAAAACAAGACAAAAAUACUAUGUAAGAAAGUCAUUUUUUGCAGUGUAGGACUGAUUUCUUAAGAGCAAGAUCAAUAUAGUUGUUGUUCAUUUUAUUUAGAUAUUUACUACAUUACAGUGGCAGAUGGUGACUACUUUUUUUGUGAGCUCUCGAUGCGAAGUUUGUCACAACAUGUAAAUAGCCCGUCAUUUGUGUGGUUCCCAAUUUCAAAAUAUGUGUAUGUGCAUCACGUGUUUUGACUAAACACGUGAUGCACGUGGUUUACAUGAAGCAACAAACACAUAUUUUAAAAACACAAGCAACACACAUGACACUCCGAACACUUAUUUUGAAUUUGCAACCCUCGGAUGAGCAGUCACGAGCCGCCACUGCUACACUGCAUUGUACUGCUUUGAAUGCAGUUUUCAUUGUUGCUU